Molecule: ribosomal RNA, 478 nt
Filed under: uncultured bacterium
Lineage: Bacteria
Description: partial 16S ribosomal RNA
Rfam family: Bacterial small subunit ribosomal RNA
Source: RNAcentral
GAUGAACGCUGGCGGCGUGCUUAACACAUGCAAGUCGAACGGGAAAUAUUUCAUUGAGACUUCGGUGGAUUUGAUUUAUUUCUAGUGGCGGACGGGUGAGUAACGCGUGGGUAACCUGCCUUAUACAGGGGGAUAACAGUCAGAAAUGGCUGCUAAUACCGCAUAAGCGCACAGAGCUGCAUGGCUCAGUGUGAAAAACCCCGGUGGUAUAAGAUGGACCCGCGUUGGAUUAGCUAGUUGGUGGGGUAACGGCCCACCAAGGCGACGAUCCAUAGCCGGCCUGAGAGGGUGAACGGCCACAUUGGGACUGAGACACGGCCCAGACUCCUACGGGAGGCAGCAGUGGGGAAUAUUGCACAAUGGGGGAAACCCUGAUGCAGCGACGCCGCGUGAAGGAAGAAGUAUCUCGGUAUGUAAACUUCUAUCAGCAGGGAAGAUAGUGACGGUACCUGACGAAGAAGCCCCGGCUAACUACGUG